ACUUAGAUAGUUUAUUUAGAAUAAUAAUUUGUGGAGUUAUUGGUGUAUAUUUACUCUAGGUU
RNAcentral lists this transfer RNA (62 nucleotides) under Planusocoris schaeferi. Its description in RNAcentral is "tRNA-His". Lineage: Eukaryota; Metazoa; Arthropoda; Insecta; Hemiptera; Alydidae. The record is from RNAcentral.